AACGCUAGCUACAGGCUUAACACAUGCAAGUCGAGGGGAAACGAUAUUGGAAGCUUGCUUCCGAUAGGCGUCGACCGGCGCACGGGUGAGUAACGCGUAUCCAACCUGCCCACCACUUGGGGAUAACCUUGCGAAAGUAAGACUAAUACCCAAUGACGUCUCUAGAAGACAUCUGAAAGAGAUUAAAGAUUUAUCGGUGAUGGAUGGGGAUGCGUCUGAUUAGCUUGUUGGCGGGGUAACGGCCCACCAAGGCGACGAUCAGUAGGGGUUCUGAGAGGAAGGUCCCCCACAUUGGAACUGAGACACGGUCCAAACUCCUACGGGAGGCAGCAGUGAGGAAUAUUGGUCAAUGGACGAGAGUCUGAACCAGCCAAGUAGCGUGCAGGAAGACGGCCCUAUGGGUUGUAAACUGCUUUUAUAAGGGAAUAAAGUGAGUCUCGUGAGACUUUUUGUAUGUACCUUAUGAAUAAGGACCGGCUAAUUCCGUGCCAGCAGCCGCGGUAAUACGGAAGGUCCGGGCGUUAUCCGGAUUUAUUGGGUUUAAAGGGAGCGUAGAUGGAUGUUUAAGUCAGUUGUGAAAGUUUGCGGCUCAACCGUAAAAUUGCAGUUGAUACUGGAUAUCUUGAGUGCAGUUGAGGCAGGCGGAAUUCGUGGUGUAGCGGUGAAAUGCUUAGAUAUCACGAAGAACUCCGAUUG
This 696-nucleotide ribosomal RNA is filed under the name uncultured bacterium. RNAcentral describes it as "bacterial SSU rRNA". It matches the Rfam family "Bacterial small subunit ribosomal RNA", at positions 32 to 715 of the family's 1533-position model. The record is from RNAcentral.